UCUCAGUUCGGAUCGAAGUCUGCAACCCGACUUCGUGAAGCUGGAUUCGCUAGUAAUCGCGCAUCAGCCAUGGCGCGGUGAAUACGUUCCCGGGCCUUGUACACACCGCCCGUCAAGCCAUGAAAGCCGGGGGUACCUGAAGUACGUAACCGCAAGGAUCGUCCUAGGGUAAAACUGGUAAUUGGGGCUAAGUCGUAACAAGGUACC
Molecule: ribosomal RNA, 207 nt
Filed under: uncultured bacterium
Lineage: Bacteria
Description: partial 16S ribosomal RNA
Rfam family: Bacterial small subunit ribosomal RNA
Source: RNAcentral